GUAAACAGUGAUGAACAAGACUAUGUCCUAAACAAAUGAUUAAACAGUAAACAAGCUAUGAUAAUUAAGUAUUUAAUAUGACAUUUUACUUCUGCAGGUGGUACUGAAAGAUUCAAUUCCUGUGGAGCUUGUGCAACACAGCUGCACAUGUGUUGCUGGAGCAGCAUUAUGCAACCACUGCGUUGCUUUGCUGUUUCAGUCAGCACAUUACUCGGAACUGAAUGUGCCAGUUGUGCCUCCUGUGCUAAGCUGUACUGAAGGGGAACAGCAGUGGCACAAGGCCAGAACUUUGGGUAUAAAGCCAGGCCCUGUUGAAAAGAUGGCUGUGCUGUCGGCUAAACCAAAGCGUAGAGCAACAACCGAGGGUGUAAGGAGCACACUCUACAAAGGUCUGACUGGAGAUUUGCCUGAUCUGU
Non-coding RNA from Paramisgurnus dabryanus, 416 nucleotides. NCBI's taxonomy places the organism in Eukaryota, Metazoa, Chordata, Actinopteri, Cypriniformes, Cobitidae. The record is from RefSeq and is a predicted model, not a curated record.